Molecule: non-coding RNA, 153 nt
Organism: Ceratotherium simum simum (southern white rhinoceros)
Lineage: Eukaryota; Metazoa; Chordata; Mammalia; Perissodactyla; Rhinocerotidae
Source: RefSeq, a predicted model, not a curated record
GACAUAACCAAGUUAGCCAGGACUGUGGACAGUGAGGGACCUCAACCAUAGUUGUUCUGUGACACUGAAUGAUGGGCACUUUAUACCUGUGCACGGAUUUGGCACUUUUGCUUCAGAUGAAGUUCCUAAGAGCAAGAGUGGAGAGGCCGCCAA